CAGUGCAGUACUAGCUUGCCUGUACAAGGCUAUAUGUCGAAGUUCUUAUACCGAUCAGAAUGAGAUUGGUGGUUAUCUUGUAUUACUAAGGUAUAUGAAUUAAAAAUUUAUAUUUUUAAUUUUUAAAAAUUUAAUAUUGUAGCUCUAAUUUGAUAUAUCAGGUAUGAUUUUUUUGAAAUUUGCAUAUUUUGACAUAGGAGAAGAUGUCGACUAUUAGUCUAUUAUGACG
This 229-nucleotide long non-coding RNA is filed under the name Elaeis guineensis (African oil palm). RNAcentral describes it as "long non-coding RNA (EGUI_LNC017963)". The record is from RNAcentral. Lineage: Eukaryota; Viridiplantae; Streptophyta; Magnoliopsida; Arecales; Arecaceae.